GACGAACGCUGGCGGCGUGCUUAACACAUGCAAGUCGAACGGAAAGGCCCUGCUUUUGUGGGGUGCUCGAGUGGCGAACGGGUGAGUAACACGUGAGUAACCUGCCCUUGACUUUGGGAUAACUUCAGGAAACUGGGGCUAAUACCGGAUAGGAGCUCCUGCUGCAUGGUGGGGGUUGGAAAGUUUCGGCGGUUGGGGAUGGACUCGCGGCUUAUCAGCUUGUUGGUGGGGUAGUGGCUUACCAAGGCUUUGACGGGUAGCCGGCCUGAGAGGGUGACCGGCCACAUUGGGACUGGGAUACGGCCCAGACUCCUACGGGGGGCAGCAGGGGGGAAUAUUGCACAAUGGGCGGAAGCCUGAUGCAGCAACGCCGCGUGCGGGAUGACGGCCUUCGGGUUGUAAACCGCUUUCGCCUGUGACGAAGCGUGAGUGACGGUAAUGGGUAAAGAAGCACCGGCUAACUACGUG
RNAcentral lists this ribosomal RNA (468 nucleotides) under uncultured bacterium. Its description in RNAcentral is "partial 16S ribosomal RNA". It matches the Rfam family "Bacterial small subunit ribosomal RNA", at positions 28 to 507 of the family's 1533-position model. The record is from RNAcentral.